UACGUAGGUGGCAAGCGUUGUCCGGAUUUAUUGGGCGUAAAGGGAGCGCAGGUGGUUUCUUAAGUCUGAUGUGAAAGCCCACGGCUCAACCGUGGAGGGUCAUUGGAAACUGGGGAACUUGAGUGCAGAAGAGGAAAGUGGAAUUCCAAGUGUAGCGGUGGAAUGCGUAGAUAUUUGGAGGAACACCAGUGGCGAAGGCGACUUUCUGGUCUGUAACUGACACUGAGGCUCGAAAGACGUGGGGAGGCAAACAGGAUUAGAUACCCUCGUAGUCCCUCGA
Molecule: ribosomal RNA, 280 nt
Filed under: uncultured prokaryote
Description: partial 16S ribosomal RNA
Rfam family: Bacterial small subunit ribosomal RNA
Source: RNAcentral